Molecule: transfer RNA, 79 nt
Filed under: Podarcis lilfordi (Lilford's wall lizard)
Lineage: Eukaryota; Metazoa; Chordata; Lepidosauria; Squamata; Lacertidae
Description: tRNA.Ile
Source: RNAcentral
GCAUCUUUAGGAUAGCUCAGUUGGUUAGAGUGUGGUGCUGAUAACACCAAGGUUGCGGGUCCGAUGCCUGUAUGGUACA